Molecule: ribosomal RNA, 739 nt
Filed under: Favolus sp. LWZ-2015a
Lineage: Eukaryota; Fungi; Basidiomycota; Agaricomycetes; Polyporales; Polyporaceae
Description: LSU rRNA
Rfam family: Eukaryotic large subunit ribosomal RNA
Source: RNAcentral
GUUGUAGUCUGGAGAAGUGCUUUCCGUGCCGGACCGUGUAUAAGUCUCUUGGAAUAGAGCGUCAUAGAGGGUGAGAAUCCCGUCUUUGACACGGACUACCGGUGCUUUGUGAUGCGCUCUCAAAGAGUCGAGUUGUUUGGGAAUGCAGCUCAAAAUGGGUGGUAAAUUCCAUCUAAAGCUAAAUAUUGGCGAGAGACCGAUAGCGAACAAGUACCGUGAGGGAAAGAUGAAAAGCACUUUGGAAAGAGAGUUAAACAGUACGUGAAAUUGCUGAAAGGGAAACGCUUGAAGUCAGUCGCGUUGUGCAGAACUCAACCUAGCUCUCGCUUGGUGCACUUUCUGUAUGACGGGUCAGCAUCGAUUUUGACCGUCAGAAAAGGGCUGAAGGAAUGUGGCACCUCCGGGUGUGUUAUAGCCUUUGGUCGCAUAUGGCGGUUGGGAUCGAGGAACGCAGCGUGCCGCAAGGUGGGGCUUCGGCCUACAUUCACGCUUAGGAUGCUGGCAUAAUGGCUUUAAACGACCCGUCUUGAAACACGGACCAAGGAGUCUAACAUGCCUGCGAGUGUUUGGGUGGAAAACCCGAGCGCGUAAUGAAAGUGAAAGUUGAGACCUCUGUCGUGGAGGGCAUCGACGCCCGGACCUGAAGUUUUCUGACGGAUCCGCGGUAGAGCAUGUAUGUUGGGACCCGAAAGAUGGUGAACUAUGCCUGAAUAGGGUGAAGCCAGAGGAAACUCUGGUG